AGGCAACAGACUUUGCCUGGAAACCGUAACUCUUUUUGAUGAUUUCAACCUGCUGAUAAACAUCAGAGGGAUCCAAAGGUCUUGAUUUAACAUCGCGGACAAAACUGCAACAUAAACAGGUUCCCAUGUCCUCUUCCUUUGAACUUGUGCUAGCUUCACUGAAAUCAAUUCAAGAAUCAAAAGAAUGCGGAACUAUUAGAACAAUUACAAAUUUCAAGUUUAAGAGAUGAAUAUUAUCCAAAAUGUUCUGAUUUAUUGUGUUUGGGAAACACUUAUCCUGAAACCAGUUAUGUUGUUAAAAUUUUGUGUUCUAAAAAGCGUCCUUUGAAGUUUAACUGAAAUAAAGAAAGUGAUAAUAAUUCAUACCCUUGAUGCUUCCCCCUCUUUCUUAUCACAUAGUAACGGUUUGAUGACAGUGGUUGAUUCAAGACUGGAACAAACAAGGCUUCUUCAUCAUCACUUCCAUAGUUGAUGGUUAAAUUUUUGUCCUGAGGAAAGGGAAGAUCCCAGAUAGUAGGGUCCUUGCACAAACCAAAACAUGAGUAUGUCUGAGCUUCUUC
RNAcentral lists this long non-coding RNA (560 nucleotides) under Vigna radiata. RNAcentral describes it as "long non-coding RNA (VRAD_LNC011327)". Lineage: Eukaryota; Viridiplantae; Streptophyta; Magnoliopsida; Fabales; Fabaceae. The record is from RNAcentral.